This 98-nucleotide transfer-messenger RNA is filed under the name bacterium. RNAcentral describes it as "partial transfer-messenger RNA". It matches the Rfam family "transfer-messenger RNA", at positions 1 to 94 of the family's 374-position model. From Rfam's summary of the family: Bacterial tmRNA, also known as 10Sa RNA or SsrA, is named for its dual tRNA and mRNA-like properties. Its role is to liberate the mRNA from a stalled ribosome. The record is from RNAcentral.
GGGGGCGUUCCGGUUUCGACUAGAUAUUGGAAACGCUGGCUGCAUGUAGAGGUUGAUCGGUUGGCCUCUCAAAAAAGCCGUUCAAAACAAAUAAUUGC